GUGGGGUAAUGGCCCACCAAGGCGACGACGGGUAGCCGGCCUGAGAGGGUGACCGGCCACACUGGGACUGAGACACGGCCCAGACUCCUACGGGAGGCAGCAGUGGGGAAUAUUGCACAAUGGGCGAAAGCCUGAUGCAGCGACGCCGCGUGAGGGAUGACGGCCUUCGGGUUGUAAACCUCUUUCAGUAGGGAAGAAGCGAAAGUGACGGUACCUGCAGAAGAAGCGCCGGCUAACUACGUGCCAGCAGCCGCGGUAAUACGUAGGGCGCAAGCGUUAUCCGGAAUUAUUGGGCGUAAAGAGCUCGUAGGCGGUUUGUCGCGUCUGCCGUGAAAGUCCGGGGCUCAACCCCGGAUCUGCGGUGGGUACGGGCAGACUAGAGUGAUGUAGGGGAGACUGGAAUUCCUGGUGUAGCGGUGAAAUGCGCAGAUAUCAGGAGGAACACCGAUGGCGAAGGCAGGUCUCUGGGCAUUAACUGACGCUGAGGAGCGAAAGCAUGGGGAGCGAACAGGAUUAGAUACCCUGGUAGUCCAUGCCGUAAACGUUGGGCACUAGGUGUGGGGGACAUUCCACGUUCUCCGUACCGUAGCUAACGCAUUAAGUG
RNAcentral lists this ribosomal RNA (604 nucleotides) under uncultured Actinomycetes bacterium. Its description in RNAcentral is "bacterial SSU rRNA". It matches the Rfam family "Bacterial small subunit ribosomal RNA", at positions 252 to 866 of the family's 1533-position model. Lineage: Bacteria; Bacillati; Actinomycetota; Actinomycetes. The record is from RNAcentral.